This 209-nucleotide long non-coding RNA is filed under the name Phoenix dactylifera (date palm). Its description in RNAcentral is "long non-coding RNA (PDAC_LNC007429)". The record is from RNAcentral. Lineage: Eukaryota; Viridiplantae; Streptophyta; Magnoliopsida; Arecales; Arecaceae.
AGCAUCAAGGUGGUCCACCAGGUUUUCAGAAGAAUUUUUCCAGGAUAGGUCCAUCACAAAUAAACCAAUCAUUGGCUCCACCUAUUCCUACUUAUAGUGCCCCUAUCCCUCAGCAAACUACAUCAUUGGAAGCCAUGAUGGCUAACAUGAUGAAGCAGCAACAAGACUUCAUCCAAUAGCAACAACAGACCAACAUGGCUCAAACCCAG